UCUUCGCUUUCCUCCCCCGCCCCCCUUCGGGCGCUCUUCCUGUCCGCGAUCCCUCUCUCCCCUCCCUCCGUUCCCCUUUUUCCCUCUCUCCCAUCUCCCCCUCGCACCUUUCUCUUCCUAACCCCCUCUUCCACUUUCUGCCUUCUCUCCCUGCCCUUCUCUCCCUUCCCUCCCUCCCCUUCUCGUUCUAUACCCCGCUCCCGCGUCCUCCCGCUCCCACCCACUCCUUCUGCGGGUCCCGCAGCCCAGUUCCCGCCGGUGCAAUGGGUUUUGUUUCCUUGCUUUUUUGGCGAGGGCGCCAUUCCCGCUGGGCGCAGGGCGACUGUGCCCCCUGCAGUUGCGCCACGCAGCGGCGCAGCUUCUAGUCUUUUAAGGAUGGAUUUUGACCCCUGCCAACCUCCACCUGUCCACCUGCAGGGGUGGGGCCGCCUCCCUGCGGGCACAUUUUUAACCCGGGUUGCGCCCGGCCCUGCCGGCUGGUUCCCGGCACGUUCUGGAUGUUUCCCGAGGGUUUUGUGCGGUGCCGCCGCCGCCGCCGCCGCCGCGCUCUUUGUUUUAAUUGUCCAGAGUAUCGGCGCCCAAAGCGGGUUUGCAUUGGAUUUGCAGCCCUGUGCCCCGGUUUCCACUUCGGACCGAGGAGAAAACGAAUUAAUUAGGUCAAUGCGAUUGUACUGAAGCCCUAAACGAAAGGGUGAGGCUCGUGAAGCGCACACUUUUUAGAAUAAAUCCAGGCACACCCUCGGCCGUGGGGCCCAGAUUGGGACUGGCUGUUCGCGGAUACGGGUCCUGCCGCCAAGCGCAGGGGCACGGCUGGCCCUCGAGUCUUCCAGCUUGCGGCCGCCCUGGUGCUCUGGAAAGCGCUGGGCUGUGUCCAGAGGUUCAGACAAGUGCUUGGGCAGGUAGCUGUAGCUCCGAAAUAGUUAACCCACGUUCGAAAGUUCUCAGAAGCUUCCCUUUGGCACUGGUGGAUUUGUGCGUAUUGGAACUAACAAUGAUUGGGAGCCUGGAAGGACAUGGCCCUUGCCCUCUGGAGAUGCCACCACGGUAGGGCAAGUCGCGGCAGGCGUCAGGAGAGUCUGGCCAUACAGAUGGAGUGCCCAGGGUAUGCCCUCGGCCGUCUCAGUACAGGCCUGGCCACCCUCAGCAACUGAGCUGAGUCAUUCCUUUCUUUUUUUAGGUCACCUGAGGGCUGCGGCCCUGGGUCAGGUUCUUGGCUCCCAGUCACUCAUUCCAAGGUAAUGCCUUCUGUCACUGGUUCUCAAACUUCAGCCUGCAUGUGAAUCCCGGGGAGGGCUUAUUAAAACACACGUUGCUGGACAACCCCACUAGAAUUUCAGAUUCAGUUGGCCCUGGGUGAAGCUUGAGAAGCUGUAUGCUGGUCCACAGACCCCAUUUCCAGAACCAUUGGCGCGUAGAUAAGGUCAUUCUGCUCCUACCUCGUCCAGCAGGCACUACAUUAAAACAUCUGAGAGUGUCUUUGUUUGACAGCUGUCUCCAGCACCCCUGCCCCACUUCCAAAGACCCGCAGCACUGAAAAUUCUCCUGUGUGAUGUGGAAAAUCGUUUAUUCUAUUGAGUGUCCAGGGGGGUUGAAAGAUUUGGCAGCUUUGUCCCAGAUUGUGUCCAUAUUAUUUUGGGGGGCAGGUCAAAGUAUAGACGAGACUCUUUUUUUUUUUUUAAUUUUUUUUAACGUUUUAUUUAUUUUUGAGACAGAGAGAGACAGAGCAUGAAUGGGGGAGGGGCAGAGAGAGAGGGAGACACAGAAUCGGAAGCAGGCUCCAGGCUCUGAGCUGUGAGCACAGAACCUGACGCGGGGCUCGAACCCACGGACCGCGAGAUCGUGACCCGAGCCGAAGUUGGACGCCUAACCGACUGAGCCACCCAGGCGCCCCUAUACUCUUUAAUGUGUAUGGAAGGAAAACUGUUGGCCAGUUCGAGAAAAUGGGGCUUCACAAUAUUUCUGGAAUUUCCGCCUGUCUUCCUGGGCCUUUCUCUGGAGUUCUCUUCCACUUCAUUGCACAAAGACUCAGUUUGGCCUUCAGGGAACGAAAUGGCUCCCUUAGGUUGUUUGUAAUCAGGAUUCAUGGAAUCCAAGUUUCAGAAGCCUUGUGAGUUUGAAUUUACCUAACUGUAGUCGUUGUGGAGGCACCCCUUGGGGCACUGAGCUAUUUUUAAUGUGGUGCACCGAAUCUCUUACUUACUAGGCCUCUGUUGUGCCCCUACUGUGCGCCAGGCAUCACUCAACACCCCAAAAUCCAGAGGUAAGAAGGUGCCCUGUUCCGUGAGGAGCGUCAGGCAGGCAGAGAACUGACCUCAAGACAAUUCGGUCCUCAAAAAGGGAUGUUCAGGUUGCUCUGUGGCCCAGGGCAGGGGUGUGGCAGGAUUGACUGAUUAAUGUUGUAUUGAAGAGGGGAAAGAAAAACAGAAGGUCAGGAUUUCUAUUCACAGUGGACUGUGACAUUUUGAUCCAGAAGACGGAAUCGGUCAUUGCCCUUGCCUCCUCUGUCCGGAUCAGUAAUUUGAAGGGUGUGGUCUGAGUGCAGAAGAAGACCGUUCGUUUUAAAAUACCAUUCUUUCCCACCUUUACAAUUUAUUGGUUCGAAUUAAGUUUUAAUGCUCCACUAACCUGGGAAGGUCCCUGGGGACUGUAUCUGCUCUCACUCAUCGCUGCCUUAGGGUUAUCUCAUCCCCUCUGAGAGACAGUGAGAGAGCAAUCCCACACCUCAACGCAGAAAAAGACCGAGUCCAGCAGGAGGAUGAUAGCCUCUCUCUCUGCAAGGCUUAUGAGGAGAAGCAUCCAGAAGCCUGGACGGGUCAGGUCAGGGCUGCAGGAAAAAGGCAUGACCUUCACUGAAUAUGCUUGCCUCUGUAAGCACGGAAUGGCGUUCUAGGCCAGGAGUUCUUAGAAUCUGAAAUGGCAUAACAUCUGUAAAAUCCCAGGGACCGAUGCAGUUGGCUACCUAUCCACUUGCCAAGUAAAAGUAUUUAAAACAAACAAAAACCCCAAUAUACUAUUUUUAUCAACAUUAUCUCAUCCAAAAGACGGUAUUUUUACCGUCAAAAAAUUAGGAAGGAUCCAAUAUCACAAUAAAAGACAGCUCUUUAAACGGAAUAUAAUUUGUGAAAAAUUCCAGACUUGUCAUUGCCUUAUUUUUUGCUACCUUCAGGCUGUCACAGUCCACGCAUGGGCACUUGGAAACCACAUUUCUAGGUACUGAGGAUGUCUUGGGAUCUGUCUUGAGGUGUGUCCCUGCAAAGACACCUGAUCUCUGAGUUAUAAGAGGGGGCAGGGAGGGCACUGCAGAGCAGUGAGGAAAGCGCCCUCCUACAUAAACCUUUGGGCCCAGGCAAAUGCCACCAGCUCUAGAGAGACAUCCCUUGUGAUCUCAGGUCAAAAAUCAACCUGUGGUUUCUCUCUGUCCCCAGCGAACAUUGCUUGUAACCCCGUGUGGCAACUGGCUAAUCCUGCUUUGUAUUCUGGUCGGUUUGUACACCUGUUCUCCUCAGCUCUGGGCAUUGUCCCCUGGCCUUAUACGUAGAAGCUUCUUAGGCAUAGUCAGUCAAUCAGAUUGACUUCAUCAUCUUCUUUUUCAUUUUUUUCUUUCUAUCUGUCCUUUCCUUCUUGCCCCCUUAUUACCUUCCUGCCUUCUUUUCCUUUUAUAUCCAUUGUUAUCUCCUCCAGCUCCUUCCUGUUAGUACACAAUUUUCCCCGUGGGCAGGGUCCUCUGGAAUUCUGUACCCUGCCACUUCCCAUCCAUUCUGCAACUUCAGAUAUGCGGAAUAAAGAUAAAUGAACUGUGACAUUUGCCUUUUACAUCAAAAUACAAGAGAAGAAAACAAAAAUGGAAGAGAAGAUUGCUGUCAGACCACACAUUUCCCAUCCCCAUCGGAAAACCAUGGUCUUUUUUCCUGCCAACAAUGACCUUGGGGAUCCAGUUAAAUCCUGCCUGACGUUUUUAACAUUCAGUACUUCCGUUUUUCUCACGGGGAGUGGGGGGGGGGGGAUGAGAAAGCCUAGGCUUUACCUUCCCUAAAUCUGUUCCUGUCUCGGUUCUUCCUUUUUUGAAUCCUCCGUAUGUACCAAUUAUUUCCUGUUUCUUCCUCUCUUAGAACAUUCCACCAGGUGCCAUUCUCAUCCCCGGGUCCCCAGACCUCAUCUUUUGAGCCUCAAGUCUCUCUGACUGCAGACUCCUUUUCCCUGGGCCACAGGGUCCUCGCUUUGAGAAGUUGUGUGAAGAGAGGAUGGAAGCAUUUGUGUAAGCUGGGAGUUUUUCCAUGUAUUUCUGUGGGGAUGCGGAAGGUCUCAGAAUCACCCAGUCUGUAAGCCUGGCGCACUCCGAAAUGAGCUCUAUUUCUGGGCCUGUCAGAUGAAAUGCUGUUGCUCCCGGUUAUUUUUGGCUCUUUGCCCUUCUGAAUAGGUGCAUAUUCAGCUCAAUUCUCCCCCCGACCCUGAGCUGGGAAGAAGCAGGCAGCUUCCCUCAGCCAAGCCUCCUCUCGAGUCAGGAACAUUUGCCCCCUUAAGCAGCAGCUAUCUCAAGAGUCCUGGACUGCGCAGCGGCUGUUUAUGCCGUGGCCAGGGGGGCAGCAGGGGAGUCUGCUCCCUGGCCCCCUCAGAUGACUGAUGGAGACCCUUGUGAGCCGAACAGCAGGUACAGCCAGGUAUCCAAAGCCUCCUCGUUCAUACAUACAAAGGUCUGCAACCUGCCCCACUGGGCCUGGCUGCAAAAACUUCUCCUACCAUCCUCAGGGCACCUGGGAUGGCCAGGGGACAUUUUCGGCUCAGUGAGCAUAGAAAUAGCUGUACACUGAGGGUCUGAGGAAGGAAGAACGCUGGGAUGCAGAAGGUCAAGGGCAUGUAGUUAGAAAAAUAUCUUCGGGUGAGCAUGUUGAGAAGAACAUGUGUGUGAAAAGGGUGGAGGGAGGUUGGGUGUGAGUGUGCAGAUCCACGUGGGACGGAGAGCGAGGAAGGACAGCGACUGUGCACCUAGGGAGUGUCAGUGUAAAUAAUUGAAGAGAGAGAGUGAGUACACCUGAGACCUUGGGGAAAGCGGAUUGUAUCUACGAGUCCCGACAAUAUUUUAUAACUGCAUCCUGCAGUUGAAAUCGCGAUCCUCAGACAGGCAUUAACAUAGACUUAGGGCUUUUAGUCCAUCCGGUAAUAAACAAUAUCAAGUGAAAUGAAAUGUCAAGAUGAGCUGUACUUGCAUGGACACUUAGUAAGGUCCAUAUAAAAUCAAGAAAAGCAUAGAGAAAAGGAAGCUAGCCCAGGGUUCUCUUAACAGCUACUUAUCUCUGCAGCCUUUGACUGAGAGACUACUUUUGAAAGUUCUUACCACGUUAUCACUUGGAGGCACUAAUUCACUCAAUCCUCAUGACAGCAGCAGCAGCAGCGGCCUCGUUUUACAGACGAAGGAACUGAGUCGUUUGAAAGAUCUCAGGUCCAGGGUCAUCACCAGGUGGCAGAGCUGGUUUGGUCCGAGCAGCCGUGCUCAAGGACCGGAGCUUCCACAACUACACAAAACUUCUGUAGUGACAGCGGGUGGUGGAGGGGCAAGCAGGUGUCGUGAGGUAUGUCCAGGGCUCGCACCUGGGUUUGAAACGUAGGUGUGUGUCCGGGCUUCAUGGUGCCUGGGGACAGACACUGCCAUGUUGGACACAUCUGUCUGGGGCCAUCCUGCCACUCCCCAGCUAUGUUGCCUUUGCCGGGUCACGAAUCCUUUUUUGAACCUCAGUCUCCAGCCUCUGCAAAACUGGGGAUAAAGUCACCGAUCUGGCCAUCGAUGUGGUGUUGUGGGGGCCAGUGAGGUAGCAUGGGUGAGGGUGCGUGGCAAAUCGUCAAGCCCUAGACAAGAGUAAAGCACUUCUUGUGUAUUUUUCAGACUCACCUACUUCCAAAAAAGGCUCACAAAGAAAGGUCCAUCCCUUGUAAGUUUAUGAAAAACAGAAAAUAAAUAAAUAACCUGUCAAGGGGUUAAGGAUGACCCCACCCAUGAAGCACAUCUCCAUUAUAACCCUGGCGCAGGGGAGGGUAUUCCCCCAGUAUUUACUCCCCGGGGGGUGGGGGGGAAGCCAGCUGCCGUGUGUCAACUCUCACCACCAGCAAGCCAGCCAUGUGACGGGAGAGAGAUGCUCAGACAUUCCGACCCCUGUGUGGGCCAGACCUGCGAAUGAGCAAAUCAUCCUGAAGGUUUAUCCGUCGAGCCUUUACAUGACUCGAACCCAGCCCUGCCCCGUUCAGCUGAAACAGCUUCAGAAUCCCUAAGCCAGAACUGCCCGGCUGAGUCCUAGCAACUCACUGACCCAUGAAAGGUCACUGUCUCAACAAUUCCUGUGGAAUCCUGGGGGAUGACCCUGUUAUGGGUUGAAUUGUGUUCUCUAAAAGGAUAUGCUGGGAGUCCUAACCCCUGGUACCUGCGCAUAUGACCUUAUUUGCAAAUAGGGCCUUCGCAGAUGUAAUCAAGUGAAGCUGAGAUCGUAGGGUGGGCCCUGAUCCAAUAUGACCAGUGUCCUUACAAGAAGAUGGAAAUUUGCUCAUAGACAUGCACCGAGGGGUGACAAUGUGAAGACACAGAAGGAAGAAGGCCAUACGAAGACAGAAGCAGAGAUUGGAGCCACGAGGCCACAAGCCAAGGAACGCCCAGGGCUACCAGAAGUGGGAAGAGACAAGGAAGCAUCCUUGUCUAGCGGCUUCAGAGGGAGCGUGACUUUGCCUGUGCCUUGAUUUUUGGACUUCUACCUUCUAGAACUGUGAAACAACAAACUUCUAUUGCUUCGAGCCACCCAGUUUGGGGCACUUUGUUCGAGCAGCCUUAGAAAACUAAUAUCAACUUCGGUGUCUGCUCAGGACAGAAUGGCGACCACGGAGAAUUCUGGACGGGGCGGAGGAAGAGAUUGCUCCCUUCUGUACUUUGAGCGGCAACAAAGGGCUAUGACCGAUGCCCUCUUGGAUGCAGAAGGAGGCACUGGCCUCAUUAUAUGCAUACACCAUGACUGCUGUCUUAAACUCCAAUACUGCUGAACAAUUCAGAAAUAGAUCCAUUAUAGGUCUGCUUUAGCCCCAGGGCUUUAACACGGGUCACUAGAAAAUCCAAGAUUGCACAGUAAUUCAAACUCUUAGGAGGAAAAGGAAAAAAAAAUUCUCUUCAGCACUCCCGCCUGCCCAGAGUCCCUCCCUCCAGCAUCACAGGGAGCCCCUCUUCAUUUCUGUAGUGCUUUAGAAUAAAUAGCUCUUAUGUUGAACUUGAAAUCUAAAUUUUUUGCCAGCUAUUAAUUGAUAAGAGAAGCUCGUUUUACCUCUCAUGCUCUGUAGUAAGAUUACGGUAUAAAUAAACUGGGUCAGGUUUAGCCGGAUGGAGGUGAACUAUUCUCUAAUUCCCCUUAAUCUCUGGUAAAGGAAUAACUAGGAUUUGAACGUCAACAUUCAAUAAGCAAUUAUGGCACUCCUUCAAACACGAUCCAAAUUAGUCUGCUGUUCCCUCAAAUAGAAUCCAAAGGACCUCCAAACCGUGCUCUUCGAUUGCAACCUCCUUGUUUUGUUCUAACCGGUGAGAGGAGUCAGGAUUGCAGGAGGGAUUUGAUUUGAUUUAUAUUAAUUUUUAGAGUAUCAGGGAUCUCUUGUUUUACUUGAAACAGAUCAGGGAACGGGGUCAGUCAACAAGGGUUUUCUCGACUACUGAUCACUGAUGUCGACUACUGAUCACUCAGCAUUUCAUGAGGCUGGCUUCUAGCUUUCACAGUGCAUUAGAAUCAUUAUCUAAUUAUUAAUCUCACCCUAGAGCUCUGAGGAGCUUAUGACACCCGUUGAAGUUAAUGAAGGCUUUUACCUGUGGAUCUGGCACUAAAUCGCUGUGAUUGACCGAGUGCCCACAAUAUGGUAGGCACUGACUGACAGAGGGGAAAAAGAAUUAAAAGGAAGGAAAUUAAGAAGAGGAAGAAGGAGAAGGCAUCAGAGAGGAGGAGGGGCGAGAAACCAAAAGGAGAUUGUAACUUCAAAACACCUCGUUAGGAAAAUGGGGCAGUUAAGGAAGAACUCACCAAGUAAUCUGCUUAAACUUUAAUUAAUUAUUCAUUUAUAUAUAUUUAUGUGGCACACUUUCUCUAGGGAAACCAAUGUGCUUUGCAAACAUAUUAAAUAAUUAACUCCCUCAAAUCUGAGUGGAAAGGGAGCAAAAUUACUCCAGAAGAGGACCGGCGGGGUUGAUGAGUGAUGGAUGCGUCUGGCUUUGAAGAGGCGAUCCUGUGUGAUACCCACCAGAGACCGCAUAACAAAAGACCUCUUCUGGGGGGUAACUAUGGGUACUAUGGUGAUCCCUCCCCCCACCUUCCAGAAGAAGCAGCUUUUGCUUAUACAGAUAAAUGAUGCUACGGAGAGAGACAAACAGGAAGACACAUAAAUUGAUAUGAUACAGAAAUCCAGUAUAUUUUGAGGAAGGGUGCUAUUAGAAGAAAGUCAAAUGGAGUGCAUCUUUUAAUAAAAUACUGCCUUUGAGACAAAAGUUAAAGUUAGGACGUAUUUCGAACCAAGAACAUUGAACAUGGCAUUAAGUAAAAUGAAAUUGCAAUGGCCAAAUGAUGAGCAGCAGCGGUUAGUAAGUUGUGUUUAAACAGAUGUUGACUUCCUGAAAUUACAUCCUCAAUGCAUCAUUGACAGGACACUAUUAAAAAAAUAAAAUACCUUUAUUUUUAAAAAAAAUUUUUUUUUUUAACGUUUAUUUAUUUUUCAGACAGAGAGAGACACAGCAUGAACGGGGGAGGGGCAGAGAGAGAGGGAAACACAGAAUCGGAAGCAGGCUCUAGGCUCUGAGCCAUCAGCCCAGAGCCUGACGCGGGGCUCGAACCCACGGACCGCGAGAUCGUGACCUGAGCCGAAGUCGGACGCUUAACCGACUGAGC
Long non-coding RNA from Panthera uncia (snow leopard), 8891 nucleotides. RefSeq lists it as uncharacterized. The record is from RefSeq and is a predicted model, not a curated record. Lineage: Eukaryota; Metazoa; Chordata; Mammalia; Carnivora; Felidae. The transcript is spliced from 3 exons.